This is a non-coding RNA of Megalops cyprinoides (Indo-Pacific tarpon), 573 nucleotides long. The record is from the annotation of a RefSeq genome assembly. NCBI's taxonomy places the organism in Eukaryota, Metazoa, Chordata, Actinopteri, Elopiformes, Megalopidae.
AUGAGACCACUCUCCAAACGUUCACUGGAUCCGCACUCCAAAGGUUCGUCUGGUGUCCGAUCCUGCCGUGUGGACACAGUCCAGACCACCGAGCUCCUCUUCUUUCUGUCUGAUCCGGUUCUGUCCAGGCCGUUCACACCACACACUGACAACAUGCUGGGGACCCUCUGCACUCUCAUCACUGCGCUCUCAUGUAAGGCAUUAUUAUUAGUUGGUGAUAAUCCAAUACUUCACUUUGGAGUGACAGUGGUGACACAGAAGCCUCCUGUUCUGACAGUGAGUAAAGGAGGGACGGCCACUAUGGACUGUAACCUCGGGACUGUGAUUAAUUAUUCUGCUCUCUGGUAUAAACAGAUUCUUGGUGGAGUUCCUCAGUUUAUUCUAUAUUACAACUACAGAAUGAGAGAUCGUUCUCCAGGCUAUGGAGCUGGUGUCUCAACCAGUCAUUUCACAUCAAAAUGUCAGACUGAUUCUGACUGUCAGUUAAUAAUUUCUAAUAUGGAGGUGGGAGACUCAGCAGUGUAUUACUGUAGCACAUGGGAUAGCUCUGUAAGUGAGUGGGUAUCACAGUGA